AUUGAACGCUAGCGGGAUGCUUUACACAUGCAAGUCGAACGGCAGCGCGGACUUCGGUCUGGCGGCGAGUGGCGAACGGGUGAGUAAUGUAUCGGAACGUGCCCAGUAGCGGGGGAUAACUACGCGAAAGCGUAGCUAAUACCGCAUACGCCCUACGGGGGAAAGCAGGGGAUCGUAAGACCUUGCACUAUUGGAGUGGCCGAUAUCGGAUUAGCUAGUUGGUGAGGUAACGGCUCACCAAGGCGACGAUCCGUAGCUGGUUUGAGAGGACGACCAGCCACACUGGGACUGAGACACGGCCCAGACUCCUACGGGAGGCAGCAGUGGGGAAUUUUGGACAAUGGGGGCAACCCUGAUCCAGCCAUCCCGCGUGUGCGAUGAAGGCCUUCGGGUUGUAAAGCACUUUUGGCAGGAAAGAAACGUCGCGGGCUAAUACCCCGUGGAACUGACGGUACCUGCAGAAUAAGCACCGGCUAACUACGUG
RNAcentral lists this ribosomal RNA (484 nucleotides) under uncultured bacterium. Its description in RNAcentral is "partial 16S ribosomal RNA". It matches the Rfam family "Bacterial small subunit ribosomal RNA", at positions 30 to 507 of the family's 1533-position model. The record is from RNAcentral.